RNAcentral lists this ribosomal RNA (802 nucleotides) under uncultured archaeon. RNAcentral describes it as "bacterial SSU rRNA". It matches the Rfam family "Archaeal small subunit ribosomal RNA", at positions 1 to 810 of the family's 1478-position model. The record is from RNAcentral.
UUCCGGUUGAUCCUGCCGGACCUGACUGCUAUCGGAUUGAUACUAAGCCAUGCGAGUCAUUGUAGCAAUACAAGGCAUACGGCUCAGUAACGCGUAGUCAACCUAACCUAUGGACGGGAAUAACCUCGGGAAACUGAGAAUAAUGCCCGAUAGAACAUUAUGCCUGGAAUGGUUUAUGUUCCAAAUGAUUUAUCGCCGUAGGAUGGGACUGCGGCCUAUCAGUUUGUUGGUGAGGUAAUGGCCCACCAAGACUAUUACAGGUACGGGCUCUGAGAGGAGUAGCCCGGAGAUGGGUACUGAGACACGGACCCAGGCCCUAUGGGGCGCAGCAGGCGAGAAAACUUUGCAAUGUGCGAAAGCACGACAAGGUUAAUCCGAGUGGUUUCUGCUAAAGAAACCUUUUGUCAGUCCUAGAAACACUGAUGAAUAAGGGGUGGGCAAGUUCUGGUGUCAGCCGCCGCGGUAAAACCAGCACCUCAAGUGGUCAGGAUGAUUAUUGGGCCUAAAGCAUCCGUAGCCGGCUCUGUAAGUUUUCGGUUAAAUCUGUACGCUCAACGUACAGGCUGCCGGGAAUACUGCAGAGCUAGGGAGUGGGAGAGGUAGACGGUACUCGGUAGGAAGGGGUAAAAUCCUUUGAUCUAUUGAUGACCACCUGUGGCGAAGGCGGUCUACCAGAACACGUCCGACGGUGAGGGAUGAAAGCUGGGGGAGCAAACCGGAUUAGAUACCCGGGUAGUCCCAGCUGUAAACUAUGCAAACUCAGUGAUGCAUUGGCUUGUGGCCAAUGCAGUGCUGCAGGGAA